CACAUACAUUCAAAACAUCAUGAAGUCACAUCUUCAACUACGAAAACAUAAGAAAAGGAUAGAGUUGAGAAAGGGACCUCCAAAGAUUCAGAUUCUGAUCGAUAAUAACGAAUGAGAGAAGCCAAAGCCCGAAUUCUCGAAUGAAAAAUAAACCUCAACAACGGCUGAACCAACUCAGAGCUAAAUAGACCGAAUUCGCAGUCCCAUUCAAAUACCAAAUCCACAAAACCACUUGAGAGUAUUCAACACCAACACUGAACAAACCGAAACUAAACAAAACUUACUAACCCAAAUAGACCAAAGGUGACCUCGAACAAACUGAAACCGAACUCAAAACGGCCGGAAUCAACCCGAAACAGGUCGAUUUCGAGCUGUUUUUAACGAUUCGAUCUUGGUUUUCAGUGAUGGAGAUGGUUUGGAUGAGUUUUCGAUGGGUUUCGAAGUUAAAUCGGAACUAGUGCAGUUAUUUUCGGUGAAGAGUGGCUGGAAAACUCGAUCUCCGGCCAAGUUCUUCCCUCUCGUCUCUCUCUGUUCUCUCCCUCUCUCUCGAUCUACCCUAUUUCUGGCAUGUGUUUAUGGACUUCCCCAAAUCCCUGUGCAGUUGCUAUAUCCAAUAAAAGGAGAUUGUAGUGCAUUUUUUUUCGACCCGAUUCCUAUGUGUGCGCGUGUUCGAAGAUAAAAAAGAAAGGAUGAAUAUGUUGAAUGAAGAAAACUCCCUUUUUCUUUGAUCUGUAUAUGUCGUGUAUAUAUGCCCCUUUGCCAAAUGGAAAAAUGGUCCUUUUUGUCCCUUUCCUGGAAGUUUCCUAGUGGGGCCCCUUUUUAAUGAUUUUCUCUUAUAAAGUUCACUCACCAUCAUGAUAGAAGCGGAAGACAAUUGCGGUCCCGGUAUAACCUACCAUUCAAGGAUAUGAUUCACUGGCACUGUACCAAAAAUUUGAUAGACAAAUGUCUCCUCUACGUUAUUUGCUUCAAUAAGAGACAAGGGAGAAUCUUCGCAGGCGGACAAAUCUCCUUCACCGUGAAUAACCACUUUUUGCCUGUCAUGCUCAAACUUAAUCAUUUGGUGUAGUGUAGAUACACCCGCCUUGGCCUUGUGGAUCCACGGCCUUCCCAACAACAGAUUGUAAGAGGAUUCUAUAUUCAAUACUUGGAAACUCUAUGGCGAACUCAACAGGCCCUAUGAUUAACAUUAGUUCUAUUUUACCAAUGGAGUUUGAUUUUGCACCAUCGAAAGCCCUGGCACAUACAUUGUUGGGCCGAUCCUCUCAGCACCAAUAUUCAACUUUUGCAAAGUAGAAAUAGGGCAGAUAUUUGCACCUGAACCUCGGUCAAUCAUAACAUGAGUAACGUAGAAAUCUUCUCACUUUACUGUAAUGUAAAGGCCCCGGUUAUGCCCUGUACCUUCAACAGGCAAUUCAUCGUCAGAAAAGCUGAUUCGAUUGACCUCAAAGAUUUUUCCAACCAUUUUCUCAAGCUGUUUUAUUGUAAUCUCCCUUGCUUCAGUUAAUACCUUCAGUAAAAUAUUACGAUGCUCCUUGAAGUGCAACAACAAAGAUAAGAGGGAAAUUUGAGCAGGGGUUUUCUUCAACUGGUCUAUUAUUGAAUACUCUAGCAAUUUCAUCUUUUUCAAAAAAUCUUUGGCUUCUUCUUCAGUGAUAGGCUUUUUGAUAGAUGACGGUCCACUUACAAAUGGUUUGGACUUUCUUAAACUUUCAGGCAUGAAGCAUUUUCAUGACAGAGUCAAACCCCCUACCCCAUCUACAUCUUCUACUACUUCUUUCCCAUUAUAGGUUAUCACAGUCCACCCAUAAUUUCAGGGAACCUUUUUCGUAUCAACUAUCGGAGGUUGGGUCAUCGGUUUGAGGACAAUAGGUGCUGCUAGUGCUCCUUUCAACGUCAAGAUGGGCUUACUCGAAGCUCCUACCACUGUCAACUUAGGUUUAUCCUGAAUUAAAUCAACAUACCUUCUGGCACCUUGCACCGUGAUCAGGGGUUUCUUUGUGCUUUCUUGGGCUUUUUCUUCUCUCAUUCCUUCCCGGAUCAAUGACAUUGCUUUCAAAGACUCUGCUACAUUCACCGAUUUCUUCUCAAUGGUCUAUAUCUUGACGAUAGGCUUAUAACACCUUGACUACUCUUUCCUGUCAUAUAUCAAUUCUAACAUAUUGGUUUCAGCAGGGGUUGGCAGCAGAUUCUAGUUAAUGUUUGGACCCUUCGGGGCCUGGACCAGUAUCUGAUUUGUGUCAAUUAAAUCUUGGACAGCUCUCUUUAAAUCCUAGCAUUUCUUGAUAUCAUGGUCUGGUAUGUCAGAACAGUACGCACACCUUAAAGAAUAAUCGAGAUUCCUGGACGGUGGAUUUGAAAUCCUUCCUUGAAUUGGGCUUAAGACCUUCAACUUUCUCAACCUAUCAAACAAGCUAGCAUCUGGCUCCCCAAGAGGUGUGAAUUGAUUUUUGACCGCCUUCUCUUUCUUAUACUUGGGCCUAGGCUAAAAAUCGGGUCUGGAGGGGUUUUGGUAAUUCGGUGGAGCGGAUGGGCGAUUUUUGGAGCUUGCGUGCGCCAUUAUGGGUAAGAAGGGGUUUGGGCAUAUGGUUGCGUGCUAUAUACUGGGUAUGGGGGUGGUCGAAUGGAAUAUAAAUGGUUUUGUGAAGGGUAGUAAUGGUGGGGAGGAAUAUAUAGAGCUUGGGCAUAGACUUGGGCUUGGGAUUAGGGAUAAGGGAGAGGUGGUCUUUUGGGAUAGGAAUGGGUUCCAGCUAUGACAGUCGCCACGUCUUCUUUCUUUUUUUUACCUCCGAAUGCGCCAGAUCCACUUUGAAUCACUUGUGUGGUGGCUUUCAAUGUGGCAAAACUCACAAUUCGGCCGGUCUUGAUUCCGUUCUCUAUCACCUCCCCCAUUUUGAGGACUUCAAUAAAAGACUAUCCCAUUGCCGAAAGUAAAUGUUGAAAAUAGGUCUCAUCCUAUGCCUGAAUAAAAACCUCUACCAACUUACUUUCUUUCAUUGGAGGCUUUACCCUGGUGGCCUGUUCAUGCCACCUUAUCGCGUAUUCCCUAAAACCUUCAGUGUUUUUCUUCUUCAUGUUGACCAAGGAUUUUUCUUCCAGAAUCAGGUCGUAUUAUACAGAAAAUAUUGGACAAACUCAGAAGCUAAGUCAUCCCAGCUGUUCCACUUGUCGAUAUCUUGAUCGAUAAACCAUUCUAAAGCCAGAUCAGAAAGACUCUCGCAAAAGAAAGCCAUGAGCAGCUCUUCCCUUCCUCCUGUAACCCUCAAUUGGUUGAAACAAUGUCUCAAGUGUACCACGAGAUUACCGUGCCCUGCAUACUUCUUGAACUUGGGCAUUUUAAAACCGAGGGAAAGGUUGAUGUCUCGGAACAUGCAAAGAUCUUUAUAGGAAAUACUUUUAUAACCUCCGAUUCCCUACAAAUUCCUCAUGGACUGUUCUAAACUUUUCAACUUUCGUGCUAUGACUUUCUGCUCCUCUGUUGUGAUAGGUUUCUCCGUAUCAAAUAGAAAUGCAGGUCGCUGAGUGUACCCAUACGGUUCAUUCAUUCUCAAAGUAGGCUCUGGGGCAUAAUACUGACUAUUUGGAACCUUCAAUACUGGCUUACUGGCAGACCGAGGAAGCCCCGUUGUCGGACGCACAACAUAUGUGGGAGCUUCAGGUGGUGGCGGAGCCACGAAUACUGGUGUGAUCGGUGGCGCCGGCUGAGCAGCGGGUCUUGAUUGGGGAGCUGCCAAGGGCACACUAGAAUUGCCAGGAUAAUAAUGUCGCGGAGUGAAUCCUGGAGCGUGCUCAGGUGACUUAGUAGGAAGAGAGAAUUGAGCCUGAGAGAGCAGUAGGCACUUAGACAUAUUCCUAAGACCUUUAGGGAGCGGAGGAAGAGGCAUUCCGCUAGCCCAUGCCCGGUGCAAAUCUAUCAAUUAUUGCCUGAGCCUUAUUACCUCAUCAUUGUGUUCUGGGCUUUCUUCCCUAUGAUCCUGAUCCGGGUCAAUGAUCAAAUUUUCAAUUUCCCUACUAACCAUGGCGAGCUUUGCUUUUGAUCUAGUGAGAUAUGGGUGACUAGCCAAAGUACUAAAAACCUACCACUGUUAUUUAAAAGAACAUGCUCAUCAAAGACGACAUCCGUUAGGAUUAGGGCGCACAACAAGCAUGGGAAUCACAUUGGUAAAAUUAUCCUAAAUUCAUGUCCAUUUCUAUCAGCUUUUGAGGGUAGCGAGGUCAUUUUAACAUCAUCCCGAUUUUUAUCUACACUUAUUUGCCUCUUUGCUCUAAACACACCUUUUUUUUUCACCCUCCUUUCCCUCUUUUUUCUGUCGUAUCAGUCUCUGUUUUUUUCCUUUAUUGUCUCAUCAUCCUUUCUUUCUUUUCUUCUCUCGUUAUCUACCUUCAUUUUAUCAUUCUUUAUGGCUUUUGUUUUUUCUUUAAAAGAGGAAAAAUAAUGAAAAACAGCGAAACAAAGUGAUUAGAUCGAACCCAAAAGUAGGUUGCCUAUGUAUCAUGUUGUACAUGAAUCAGAUCUUGCGUAGUUCGGGCUGUAUAUGCAUAAACAUCACACAAUUGAAGGUUUUUUUUUUAUUUUUUUCACGAAAAACGAAAACAAGUAAACAAAGAAAGAUGUAACCUCAUAACAUUUCGAUGAAAGAAACAACAAAACAUACAAUGAAUUUAGGACCACUUUUAAACUAAACAAAAAAUACAAAACAACAUUCUAACCCCUAACGACAUGCGUGUAAUUACUAAUAAAGACCUGAAUAUCAAAAACAACUUGACUCCGACUUAACACAGACACCACCCUACAAUGACAGAAACAUAAAAAACUCAAAACUACAUAAAGAUAAGACAUGUUCUUUCAAACUGGUGCUCUGUGUGACAUCCCCGACUGAGAUGAACCCAUCAGUGAAGUCCCCUCCUUUCCACUCAGACUUUGCAACAUAUCCUGCAACGAUGUUUUGAUACCCGAGAACAAAUUUCUUGCCCGUAUCCCCGCCUCUUGGAGAUUACACCCGCAAAGGUUUUUCUGACACCCAUCCACAGUUAUGAUCAAACAUGACAACUGAACUCUCAAAAACUCUACCUUAGCACCAGGAUCUUCCUACUCAUCAUCCUCUACCACGAUUGCUUUCCGUAUUCGCCCUCUAAGUUGGGCUGGUAAGGGUCUACUAAUGCCACGGACAGAGAUUGUAGCUAGAUUUCAUAGUUUUGAGUGCAUCCUGGAUUUUCCUCGAGAGUAUCGACACCUAGCUUUAUCGCAUUAUUCCAGAAUUGCUCAUAUUUGCUUUCCCCCACGGCUUGGUCUUUAAAGUACUCUACAUCCUUUAGAAGGUCCAUUAUUGGGGGGACGUCUUGCAUCCUACCCAACUGACGCAUCACCCUUCUUAGACUGUAAGGCCUAGUGCAGUUAAGUCCUAUCAAAACUAGAAAGAGCUGCAUUUGAGAUCCAAUCAAGAUUUUCUUAGGACAAAACUACAUAUAGCACCAAAGAAUGUUGUUCGGAGUUCUUGAUUCGAGAAAUUCGAUCCAAGAAUUGACUCCUAUAGGAAAAGAAAAUUUGUCUAAAUGCAUUCUCUCUUGUAUGGCUUGCACUCGAUCAUUCAGACAACGGUCGAUCACAUCUGCUCUAAUCAAAGAAGGCGUAUGUAAGUGCUCCAUCAUCCACAACUGCAAUAUCAGACUACUCCCAUAAAAAAAUCGUACCCCUCCUUUUACUUCAGUUAAAGCCUUAUAUAUUUCUGUUAAGAUCAUUAAUACAAUGGUGACCUCAUCUUUUUUCUUGAUUAAAGCUAUCACCACUGAUUGUAGACGAGUAUUGAUACGCCUCUCAUCUAACGGGAACACUAAGAUACCCAACAAAGCCAAACAGAAAACCUCAAGACGACGUUGUUCCCAGAUUUUUUUGUAGUACAGAAUUCAUCCCAAAAGAAGUCGAAACCCUCUAAGGACCCAAAUCUAGCAAACAAAUAGUCCAAGGAAAUCGAAGAUUGUUUGAGACAUCCCAGAUGCUUGUUAUCUUUUAAUCCACAGAGUCAAAGGAAUUUCUUACGAGUAUGAUUGCGGGCUAAAAUCAUCUGCUGACCCAUGUAAGUCAACUGAAUCAAAUGAGACACUUCUGCCAGGGUAGGAGUCAAUUCACAACUUCCAAACCUAAACACCAAAUUAUUUGGAUCCCAGAAAGUCAACACAACUUCUAUUAGAUCCAGAUGAGGCGUGAGAUCCAUAAGUGCUACAAGAUUGCCUAACACUUUCCUCACUUCGUGCUUUUCAGAGUAAUUGAACGUGCCCCACCACUUGAUCAACUUUUUGGGUACCUUGAGAACCAUAAGGACUCUAGACUUUGUGGACAGAUCCAUCCUGUAGUAGUAGAUAAGAAAUUAUCUCAAAAAUUUGAUAAGAGAAAAAGGUUCCCAACCAAUGGGAAUUUGAUGCGGACAUACGUCGCUGAGACAAACCGCUUUAUGGCUCCAAAUCGCCGAACAAUAACACUGAAUAAAAUCAGCCUACUUGGCUAACAACUCUGGGUUACAGGGUAAAAGACCUAGCCUAAGGCCAAAAUAAAUAUUACCGGACCUACCGAGGGUUGCCUAUAUAUCCCGCCCCGAGGAACGGGAAUCAGGUAUGCGUAGUUCGUCCAAAUUGGACAAAUAAAGAUUAACUAACAGACUGACCCUAACUUAAGAGACACUACCAAAGACCGAUGAAUAAUAAAAAAAAUAAAAAAUUUUGGGUUUUUAGUUUGACACCAACUACUAUGAAAGAAAAUUUUUUUUUUGAAAAUUUUCGAAUUAUGAAUGCGUGGUAAAGGAAUAAAAGGAUUUUUUUUUGAUAUUUUUGUUAUAUGAAAUGUACAAAAAUUCUACCAUCAUUUUUUUUUUUUUUUGCAUUUUCCUUUAUAAAACCUCUUAUUGUAAAAAAAAAAAAAAACUUUUUUUGUUUUUGAAAUUUUUGAAUUGUGAAAAACAAAAGCCAUAAAGAACUCUAAAAACUACAAAACAUUUUUUUUUCACACACUUUACUUCUAACACAUGCUUUACCCCACAUCAGUCUGUCAAAUGACCACGUUAUCCUCAAAGAUGCAACAUUUAGCACGUAGGAAUGCUUUAGAGGUAAGUCUCCUACAAAGGACCAAGUGGACCCGCUAGGUCUCAAUAUGAUGCACAUAAGCAUGACCUAAAGGCUGACCUAUGCUGGGAUUCGCACAUGAUGUCAGAGAUAAAAGCGGUAAAACAUAGGAUAAAUACUGUAAACAAAGAGCACGAAAACGCACAAAAGUGAAAACACAAACAAAAAUCACAAACAAUGCUUGUACACUCGUAAUGCCAAACAAAGCCAAUGCGACUCCAAAAAAAAAGCUCGGAUUCUAAAAUUUUCUCCAGCAGAGUCGCCAGAGCUGUCACACCCUUUUUUUAACUGCAAAAAGAUAUGGUUUAAGGUUCGAAAGGAUUUUAUUAUUUAAGUGACAAAAAAUAAAAAUUUGUUUCGAAAAAGGAUUAUGUACAAUUAAAUUCAGAGUCGCCACUUGGCAUAAUCUAGUGUGCCAAGUCACCUUUGAAAAAUUCUUUUCGAAACGGUUUGACUCUUUAAAACUUAUUUGCGAACAGAGAUUCUGGUUAAGGAAUUCUGUUGACUGAGGGGAAGGUGUUAGGCACCCCUCGAUCCCGUGGUUCGACCACGGUCGCUUGGUGAAGUAUAUCGGAUAAUUUGACACUACGAAAUGUAUAAAUCACACAAAAGCACGCAAAAAAAAUUAAACAACAAACAAAAUAAUCCAAAGUGUAAUGUCUAGUCCAAUUAUACAACCCGAUAUAUAAAAAAAAUACAAAAAAAUAUAAACCUACGCUAACCUAAACUAAUUCUAACUACGCUCCCGUGUUUUACCCGACACCUCGGGCCUUCACCACGAACAUCUUCUAAAUACAAGAUACCUCAGGUCAUUCCCCUGAUAAAUCAAUACAAAGUACUUCGGGGCAUUCCCCGGCCAAAUGAUACAAAUGAUCCAAAUGCGAUAAACUAGAAAAAAAAUUCAACCAAUAUUCCAUAUUCAAACAUUCAACCAAACAACAAAUUCUAAAAUUUUCCUACCCAAACCUAUAUUGCCUAUCCAUUUUUAACACAAUGAUCAGAAUUAAUAUUUAUCCAGAAUUAAACAAUAAUCAGUAUGCCACAAUCAAAACAGUGUUCAUCCUUUCAAUUUCCCAUUCCCACCCAGAUUUCAUUUAUGCCAACAUAAACUCAAGUCAUCUUUGAUCAACACCAUUAAUCAAUUUCAGUAUAAGUCUAUGAAUCAAACCACACGAAUUACAAGGAUUCACAUACAUUCAAAACAUCAUGAAGUCACAUCUUCAACUACGAAAACAUAAGAAAAGGAUAGAGUUGAGAAAGGGACCUCCAAAGAUUCAGAUUCUGAUCGAUAAUAACGAAUGAGAGAAGCCAAAGCCCGAAUUCUUGAAUGAAAAAUAAACCUCAACAACGGCUGAACCAACUCAGAGCUAAACAACCCAAAUUUGCAGUCCCAUUCAAAUACCAAAUCCACAAAAACACUUGAGAGUAUUCAACAUUAACACUGAACAAACCGAAACUAAACCGAACUUACUAACCCAAACAGACCAAAGGUGACCUCGAACAAACUGAAACCGAACUCAAAACAGCCAGAAUCAACCCGAAACAGCUUGAUUCCGGGCUGGUUUUAACGAUUUGAUCUUGGUUUUCAGUGAUGGAGAUGGUUUGGAUGAGUUUUCAAUGGGUUUCGGAGUUGAAUCGAAACUAGUGUAGUGAUUUUCGAUGAAGAGUGGCUGGAAAACUCGAUCUCUAACCAAGUUCUUCUCUCUCAUCUCUCUCUGUUCUCUCCCUCUCUCUCGAUCUACCCCAUUUCUAGCAUGUGUUUAUGCACUUCCCCAAAUCCCUGUGCAGUCCCUGUAUCCAAUAAAUGGAGAUUAUAGUGCAUUUUUUUUUCGACCCAGUUCCUGUGUGUGCGCGUGUUCGAAGAUAAAAAAGAAAGGAUGAAUAUGGUAAAUCAAGAAACCCCCCUUUUUCUUUGAUCUGUAUUUGUCGUGUAUAUAUGCCCCUUUGCCAAAAUGGAAAAAUGGUCCUUUUUG
This 9086-nucleotide long non-coding RNA is filed under the name Capsicum annuum. RNAcentral's name for it is "long non-coding RNA (CANN_LNC020818)". Lineage: Eukaryota; Viridiplantae; Streptophyta; Magnoliopsida; Solanales; Solanaceae. The record is from RNAcentral.